Molecule: long non-coding RNA, 2763 nt
Organism: Oreochromis aureus
Lineage: Eukaryota; Metazoa; Chordata; Actinopteri; Cichliformes; Cichlidae
Source: Ensembl
GCUUCCUCCUUAGUGAUGGGGCUUCCGGGACCUCAACCCUUUGCAGUGGCUCUGAUGUAUCCAGGAGGGUCUCUCUGCAAUUUUACAGGCUGUGGGUGUCGUCAAUAAUACUUGGUGUCAACCUGCAAGAGACUGGAGAGUCUUACGGCAGUUUAUUGUUCAAAACAAUAUCCUUAUUUUCUAGUAGUUUUGCCAUCCAUUCUGCCAGAGUUGUUUCUCUGACGGAUUUUUCUAAAGGUUCACUUUUUACAACUGAGAUUGCAUCUGCUUUUUACACUGGAUAAAUCUAUAAUCACUAGAGUAUAAAAGUGUGUAUUAAGGACCUGGACUAUCCCCCCCCCUGAGGACACAUGGGUCACCCCAUGUGUCACUAAUGCUGCUGUUCUGCACAGGGACUUGGGGAGUAUCGGUUUACUUUCACAAGUCAUCAAAUCAUAUUAUUUUGGGUAUUCUGAUGAUUAAAUUGUGCCCUAAAGCAAUGUCAGCUGACUUUCUUACUGCUUCUGCUGCGGCUGCACAGGCCUGCACGUCCAUCUACGUGUAAGUAGAAAGGCUUAUCAUAAUCAGGCAAAGCCAAAACUGUAUUUGUCUCUAAUGCCAGUUUCAAGUUACUGAAUGCUUCUUCUGCUUUCUUCUUUGUAGAUGCAACACUACAUUUUGACUUAGGGCAUUUUAGGCAAUUCCUAUUUCUCAAAGAAUUCAUACAUCUUACAUAUUUCAAACUUUUAAGUUAAGGAAAAACUUUGCAUUGCUUACAGCUCAUAGCUCACAGCUCUGAGCUGUAAGCUCAGACAAAAACAAAACAAAUUGCCUAUGGCACCAAGGCUUUAUGUUCAUAUUAAUUGAGUGUAAGCUGCUUUCUUCAUUGCAAGUGUUUGUUUCAAUAAGGUUUAAUUCAUGCAUCUUAUCACUGAGUUCUAAAUUCAAACUAUCUCACUUCUGAUUCAUUUCAAAAAUAAUCUCACAUGUAACAAUUUGUAUGUGUGUUUUCUAUUUAUUAAGGUAAUGACAAUUAUUGCUUUCAUUAUUCUUACCUUUUCUAAUGUUUACCUCUUUGUUAUGCUGUGGUGGACAUCCCUAAACAGUCAUGAGUUCAGGUUUCAACUUUCAAUCCAAUUAUAUCCUAUAUUCUCGCAGUCAAACUCGUCCAGCUUCAUCUCUCACCGGUCUCUCUUUCAUUCACAGUGUCCUGUUCGUGCUUCAAAGCUCCAGCAAACACAGUCUCAACUCAGCUGUUGUCUUCUUCUCUGUUUCUUUACAGUCUUUCUUUCAGAUUAAGUCCCAGCAUGGCAAAAUAUCACUCAAUGUCCAGUGCUCUUCCACAAUUCUUUAUCCCACUGUUCAACUGCCCAGCCUGUAUUUUCACAGUACAUGUUGCAUUACUCUUACAUGCUGCUGCUGGUCGUCAGUCGUCAUCAGUGUUAAUGGAUCAGUGGCACUGCCGUUUGCCUGCUGUAUUCAAGUCCACGAUGUUCUAUCGGUCUUCAUCAGGCAAUUGACUGUCCUUUGAACUUCUUCUCAGUUUCAGGGACAAAGUGAGAGAUCAAACUGCACAAUUUCGAGCCAAAAACUGGCUUAUUUUCUCCCAAUUCUGUUAAUCUGCUCUUCUGCUGCUGAACUCAAGGUUGCAAAGUUGAAAGACGCCCACCUGUAUUGACACACUAAAGCAUAUAAUUUAGUAUUAUAUUCAUUUUUUCUUAAAGGCUUCAUUUGCUUCAUGGGCCUCAUCUGUCUCUCUGUGUUCUUUCUGUACACACUCAGUUCCCAUAUAUGGGCAUGCAAAGUUCCUGUUCACUAUUUCCUGUCGCUGCAGCGUCGGUACACAGAGCCAUAUUUCCUGUUUCUUCAAACUAAUCUAACUCUUUUGUUUUUUUUUUUUCUUUCUAUUUAUAAUCUACAGACCCUCUUUAAUUCUACUAAAUCUCUUUAAUUCUACUAAAUCUUGAUCUAAAACCAACACCUUUAUGUCAUUCACACUUUUAAACAUUCUAACCUCUUUUGUCAUUCAGUAAUCGUCUCACACACACUGCCUUUUCUCUCUCAAACUUCCAUUUUCCACUCACUCAGACAAAUCAUGCAGAGUCACUCAAAUCAAAUACUGACAGCAUUCACACGGUUAAAAUCACUUAAAAUACGCUUUCAUACGAGUAUUUUAAACAUGCCUUCCAUGAUCAGAAAGAGCAAGUCAAAAGAAAAAGAAAAAGAAAACUGAAACCUCUCAUCAUCCUCACGGCUUCUCAUUUGCAUUCUCACACACACACCGUCUAAAAAUAGAAUCAGCAGCCAGUGCACUGUUGUGUUGUCACAAACCUGUAGCUUUAGCUGUUGUAUUCAGGGCUUGACUUAUUAUUUAUUAGUAUAGGUUUACAGACAGGUCAGGUGUCUCUAUGCACUUGAUUAGAUUAGGUAUUUUCCUUAUUUUUUCAUCGCAUAUAUCAUUGUACUGAGUUUGAGCAAACCUUAAGCUUGAAUCAGACUACUUUUAACAAUUAUCCACCUCACAUCAUAACUGACUGAGGUGUCUCUUAUUAUUAAUAUUAUGUCAUUAUUAAUGUUAUCAUUGUAUUGUUUUUCCUUUAUUAUAACAGCAAUAGUAUAUUACAAUAUACUACUAUACUACUAAUAUACAAUAGAUUAUUAUUUUAUAUUUUAUUAUGUAUCCAUCACGGGUCUGUGUGAACCUGCAGCUUCACACCUUCCCAAGCUGGAGACAUUUUCCUUGGCUGAACAAUGACGCAGCCGUAAUAUGCCUUAUGCAUCUCU